This 77-nucleotide transfer RNA is filed under the name Candidatus Uhrbacteria bacterium. RNAcentral's name for it is "tRNA-Met". It matches the Rfam family "tRNA". Rfam says of the family: Transfer RNA (tRNA) molecules are approximately 80 nucleotides in length. Their secondary structure includes four short double-helical elements and three loops (D, anti-codon, and T loops). Further hydrogen bonds mediate the characteristic L-shaped molecular structure. tRNAs have two regions of fundamental functional importance: the anti-codon, which is responsible for specific mRNA codon recognition, and the 3' end, to which the tRNAs corresponding amino acid is attached (by aminoacyl-tRNA synthetases). tRNAs cope with the degeneracy of the genetic code in two manners: having more than one tRNA (with a specific anti-codon) for a particular amino acid; and 'wobble' base-pairing, i.e. permitting non-standard base-pairing at the 3rd anti-codon position. The record is from RNAcentral. Lineage: Bacteria; Candidatus Uhriibacteriota.
AGCUGGGUAGCUCAGUUGGCUAGAGCGUGGGACUCAUAAGCCCGAGGUCGUGGGUUCGAUCCCCACCCCAGCUACCA